AUGUGCUAAACUCAGCUACCAGUUACAAAUUAUCUAUUUUCAGUCUUAUUAAUUAGCUAGCUAGUUCUUUAAGGAAAAAAUGGCUGCAGCCAAAUCAGCUAUUGGUGCUGGAAAGGUGAAUAGUGAUUGUAUGCCUAGUUAGACCUAGAUUUCUUUCUUUUUCAAGUUUGUGUGUGGUUUUUGGGAAUCAAUUCAUAAACAACUAAGGGUAACUUAUCUUUUACAUCCCUGUGGUUUGAAGGUAGAGUAUCACUGGUAAUUUAGUAAUUUACUGGAUGAUAGAGUAUCACUGGCACUAGCAGUAAUGUCUACUGCUUUAUUAACGGAAAAGGUGAAAGGUAAUUCACCUUUAAUUUUUCGGUUAAAACUGACGGUCAAUGAUAAUAACUCAAAAUCAAACUACUAAAUUGUAAGCUUCUUCUAAGUGAUGUAGUUUCUUAGUAAUUGGUUUGGAUUUACUUUUCUGGUUGUUUGUCUGUGUGAAAGGAUUCUAAUUGACAUUUUGGAACUCAAUUGUUUUGGGUUUUCUUACCAAAAAAAAAAUGUGUGGGGUUUGCAGAACGACAUAGAUGCACUAGAACCAGUGAAGCCGGCUGACCCUCGCGUGAUCGAGAUCGGACGAUUUGCAGUGACAGAACACGGUCAUGCGCUGCUUUUCGUCGGCGUGGUUGGCGGAUUCAGGUGGGCCAUUCCUGGAGGCGAUCACUACGCACUUAUCAUUGAAACUCAGGAUGAUAACGGCGCCACAUAUCUCCAUAAAGCACUUGUCGUUAUGGUCGAAGUGGAAGGACAACCCUUGAGACUCAUCUGGUACAAGAAUUAAUCAAGCACUACUCUUGAUCAUCAACUGAGGAUCAACGACUUCAAGUACUUUAAUUUUCUAGUGUCUAUAUAUGGUGUGGUUUUCAGUUUAUGCAUGCAUGGAUGAUGUACUGCUGCCGUGCAUACAUCUUCCCAUUGUUGUACUAGUAUGUCAAAUAAGGUGCACUUAAACCAACAAAAAUGCACCAUUCCAUCUGUGUUCGAGUUUGUAUCUGUGUCUUUUAUGUCUGUGUUUGUAUCCUUGUACUAGUAUGUAAAGGUGCACUUUUACGAACAAAAAUGCACCAUUAAAUAAAUAAAAACAGCCAUGGGUUUGAGUUUGUAUCCGUGUAUUUUGUUUCUCUAUUACUUGCAUGCAGGUUCCCAUCUCUCAGUCUUGUAUGUCAACUACCAUAUUCAUGACUAGUUGUGAAUUCUGAUAACUAGUUAAGUG
RNAcentral lists this long non-coding RNA (1255 nucleotides) under Coffea arabica (coffee). RNAcentral describes it as "long non-coding RNA (CARA_LNC002467)". Lineage: Eukaryota; Viridiplantae; Streptophyta; Magnoliopsida; Gentianales; Rubiaceae. The record is from RNAcentral.